RNAcentral lists this unclassified non-coding RNA (254 nucleotides) under uncultured bacterium. Its description in RNAcentral is "contains 16S-23S intergenic spacer region". It matches the Rfam family "Bacterial small subunit ribosomal RNA", at positions 524 to 776 of the family's 1533-position model. The record is from RNAcentral.
UACGGAGGGUGCAAACGUUGCUCGGAAUCACUGGGCGUAAAGGGUGCGUAGGCGGCCCAAUAAGUCAGAUGUGAAAGCCCUCGGCUCAACCGAGGAAUUGCAUUUGAUACUGUUGGGCUUGAGUUCGGUAGAGGGAAGCGGAAUUCCUGGUGUAGCGGUGAAAUGCGUUGAUAUCAGGAGGAACACCGGUGGCGAAGGCGGCUUCCUGGGCCGAAACUGACGCUGAGGCACGAAAGCGUUGGGUAGCAAACGGG